This 267-nucleotide long non-coding RNA is filed under the name Gopherus agassizii (Agassiz's desert tortoise). RNAcentral describes it as "lncRNA (ENSGAGG00000020378.1)". The record is from RNAcentral. Lineage: Eukaryota; Metazoa; Chordata; Testudines; Testudinidae.
CUUUGGCAGAAGCAAGUUGGUUUGUUAUUUUUCUUUUUUUUUUUGGUCCUGCUUUUCUUCCCCUCCCCACCUCAUACCCCCUUGAAGGCCACUCACAAAGUAGCACAUGUGGAACUUUCCUGCCGGCUCUACUGAAUGCCGAUCCAAUGAAUGUGCUGUGCCUCUUAUACAGAUGGGCCAGUGCUUGAUGCCUUCAUCAACAAGCGUGUCACUUAGUCCAAGCUGAGGUGGAAUAAAGGAGAAGCUAGCACCCUGUGACUAGUUUGG